This 279-nucleotide ribosomal RNA is filed under the name uncultured bacterium. Its description in RNAcentral is "partial 16S ribosomal RNA". It matches the Rfam family "Bacterial small subunit ribosomal RNA", at positions 506 to 784 of the family's 1533-position model. The record is from RNAcentral.
UGCCAGCAGAUGCGGUAAUAUGAACGGACCUAGCGUCGUUAGGAAUUACUGGGCUUAAAGAGUUCGUAGGUGGUUGAAGAAGUUAGUGGUGAAAUCCCAGAGCUUAACUCUGGAACUGCCAUUAAAACUUUUUAGCUAGAGUGUGAUAGAGGUAAGUGGAAUUUCUAGUGUAGAGGUGAAAUUCGUAGAUAUUAGAAAGAACACCAAAUGCGAAGGCAGCUUACUGGGUCACUACUGACACUGAGGAGCGAAAGCAUGGGUAGCGAAGAGGAUUAGAUA